GCCUUGGUGGUUCAGUGGUAGAAUUCUCGCCUUCCAUGCCUGAAAUCCAGGUUCGAUUCUCAGCCAAUGCA
Molecule: transfer RNA, 71 nt
Filed under: Loxodonta africana (African savanna elephant)
Lineage: Eukaryota; Metazoa; Chordata; Mammalia; Proboscidea; Elephantidae
Rfam family: tRNA
About the family: Transfer RNA (tRNA) molecules are approximately 80 nucleotides in length. Their secondary structure includes four short double-helical elements and three loops (D, anti-codon, and T loops).
Source: Rfam by way of RNAcentral